Long non-coding RNA from Oncorhynchus tshawytscha (Chinook salmon), 512 nucleotides. The record is from Ensembl. NCBI's taxonomy places the organism in Eukaryota, Metazoa, Chordata, Actinopteri, Salmoniformes, Salmonidae.
GGUAUAGUUACUACAGGCUGCCUCUUGGUCCCCCUCAGGUUCUCUAGCAGGUUAUUCCAGAGGCUGGGGUAUAGUUACUACAGGCUGCCUCUUGGUCCCCCUCAGGUUCUCUAGCAGGUUAUUCCAGAGGCUGGGGUAUAGUUACUACAGGCUACCUCUUGGUCCCCCUCAGGUUCUCUAGCAGGUUAUUCCAGAGGCUGGGGUAUAGUUACUACAGGCUGCCUCUUGGUCCCCCUCAGGUUCUCUAGCAGGUUAUUCCAGAGGCUGGGGUAUAUUUACUACAGGCUGCCUCUCCAUGCCUCUUGGUCCCCCUCAGGUCCUCUAGCAGGUUAUUCCAGAUGCUGGGGUAUAGUUACUACAGGCUACCUCUUGGUCCCCCUCAGGUUCUCUAGCAGGUUAUUCCAGAGGCUGGGGUAUAGUUACUACAGGCUGCCUCUUGGUCCCCCUCAGGUUCUCUAGCAGGUUAUUCCAGAGGCUGGGGUAUAGUUACUACAGGCUGCCUCUUGGCCCCC